Gossypium hirsutum (cotton) is the source of this 120-nucleotide non-coding RNA. Lineage: Eukaryota; Viridiplantae; Streptophyta; Magnoliopsida; Malvales; Malvaceae. The record is from Rfam.
GGGUGUGAUCAUACGAGUAGCAAUGCACUGGAUCCCAUUAGAACUCCGCAGUUAAUCCUGCUUGCGGGAUAGGAGUACUAGGAUGGGUGACCUUCCUGGGAAAUCCUCGUGUUGCAACCC